GAUCCUGGCUCAGGAUGAACGCUGGCGGCGUGCUUAACACAUGCAAGUCGAACGAAGCACUUAAGAUUGAUUCUUUGGAUGACGUCUUUUGUGACUUAGUGGAGGACGGGUGAGUAACGCGUGGGUAACCUGCCUCACACAGGGGGAUAACAGUUAGAAAUGACUGCUAAUACCGCAUAACCCGAUAGGAUCGCAUGAUCCAGACGGAAAAAAUUUAUCGGUGUGAGAUGGACCCGCGU
Molecule: ribosomal RNA, 239 nt
Filed under: uncultured bacterium
Lineage: Bacteria
Description: partial 16S ribosomal RNA
Rfam family: Bacterial small subunit ribosomal RNA
Source: RNAcentral